AUGUCCUCUCCUUUCCAAUCUCCAGCACCUCGACUCGCCGACAUGGCAGCGGAAGAAGGGGACGGGGAGGAGGACAAGGCGAUCGUCGUCGGAGCUGGAGACACGGCGGAGGAGGAGAUCGUCGCCGGGGCAGACGAGGAGGAGGAGAUGCACGGCGGCUGGGACGGCGGUGGCGGAGGAGGCGACGGUAUGUUCCGUCCCCCGCCGGGGUUCCGGUUCAUGCCGACCGAGGACGAGAUGAUAAGGUACUACCUGCUCCCCAAGCUCCAGGGCAGGGCGUACGUCCCCAACAACGCCAUCAUCGAGGACAGCGUCUACCAGUGCCACCCGGACGGGCUCACAAGCAAAUACAUGGACCGGGGCCAGGCCGGCAGAAGCUUCUACUUCCUGUCGCCGAGGGAGCGCAAGUACAAGAACGGGGUGAGGCCGCGGCGGGACACCAAGGACCGCCUCGGGCGGUGGAAGGCGUCGACGGGCAAGACGGACGAGCGGGGCGGCGGCGACGUCCGCAAGGAGGAGAGAGUGGCCGGCGACGGCACCACCAAGUACUGCAAGAGCGGCCUCGCCUACUUCUACUUCCGGGGCCGCGGGGAGAAGGAGAAGAAGUCCGGCUGGCUCAUGCAGGAGCUCACCGUCCCGGAGUACGAGAUCAAGCUCCCCGAGAAGGGCGGCCCCGGCGGACCGACGUUGGACAGGUACGUGAUGUACAAGAUUUACCCGGCGCCGGUCGGCAGAAAAAAGCGGAACAAUGACGAUGAGGCAGGCCCCAGCAACGCCGAGGCGGCGGAGAGCGACGACGAAGGGGAGACGGCGGAGCUUCCUCCAAUGCUAUCGGACAAACAGGCGGGCAAGAGGCCCGUGUCGGAGGACCAGCAGCUGCGCAACCCCGCCGCCGCGAAGAAGAAGCGGGGUCGCCGCUCAAACCGCCUGCAGAUCGAGCCACCAGCGCCGCCGCCGCCACCACCACAGCCACAAGGCGACGGCAUGCAAGCUCCGUUCGGGAUGCUGGAAUACUACGAUGGACCAGGGCAGCCCAUGGGGUAUCAAGCUGCCGCACGGACGCCGCUGCCAUUGGUGACAUACAACAACGGCCAGGGGCACGUGCCGCGGCAGCAGGUGGCGUACAACGGUCAGGUGCCGAUAAUGACGCGACAGCCGGCGGCGUACAACGGGCAGAUGCCGAUGACGCAGCAGCAGGGGACGUACAAUUGUCAGGUGUCGAUCAUGACACGACAGCCGGUGGCGUACAACGGACAGAUGAUGCCGGUGCCGCAGCAGCAGCAGCAGGUGGCGUUCAACUGCCAGAUGCGGCCGCCGCGGUCCGGUCAGAACCAGAAAAUGAUGACGCGGCCUUCGUGCCCGGCCGGCCAAGCAGUGAACCCGCCGCCGGUCGUCCCUCUCCCUCAGAAGCAGCCGGAGACGGAUGAGAUGCUCGAGAAGCGGGUGCUUGAACAAAACCUGGAGGAAUACCUCUGGAUGCAGCAGCAGCAGCAGCAGCAGCAGAUGGCGUUGAUGAUGCGCCAGCAGCAGCAAUGGACGAUGGCGUUCAUGAUGCAGCAGCAGCCGUACUUCGGCGGCUCCAACGCCGAUUGCAACCCCGACGCGGGGGGCAAGGCCCCUCAGUUCUCGCUCGACGACUUCUACGCCAGCCAAGCGGCGGAGCACUACAGGCGCAGCCGGGCGGUGCUCCCGGCGACGAGCGGCUCCCCAGGAGAGGCGGCGCCGGUGAAGGCAGACGGUUCGCCGGACAGCACGGUGGUGUCUGCGGUGGGAAGCGGGGACGGCAACAACGCCAACCAUGAUCGGGCGGAGUCUGCCGCUGUGAAGGCUUCGCCGGGUGGGAGCGCGUCCGCAGAGGACGAGAUCACCCCCAACAUGGUCGGGCUCGGUGAUCGGUGCUCAAUUUUGUGA
RNAcentral lists this ribosomal RNA (1911 nucleotides) under Triticum aestivum (bread wheat). RNAcentral's name for it is "partial small subunit ribosomal RNA". Lineage: Eukaryota; Viridiplantae; Streptophyta; Magnoliopsida; Poales; Poaceae. The record is from RNAcentral.